RNAcentral lists this transfer RNA (71 nucleotides) under Rasbora rutteni. RNAcentral's name for it is "tRNA-Gly". It matches the Rfam family "tRNA". From Rfam's summary of the family: Transfer RNA (tRNA) molecules are approximately 80 nucleotides in length. Lineage: Eukaryota; Metazoa; Chordata; Actinopteri; Cypriniformes; Danionidae. The record is from RNAcentral.
AUCUUUUUAGUACAAAUUUAAUACAAGUGACUUCCAAUUACUUAAUCUUGGUUAAAAUCCAAGAAAAGAUA